Molecule: ribosomal RNA, 426 nt
Filed under: uncultured bacterium
Lineage: Bacteria
Description: bacterial SSU rRNA
Rfam family: Bacterial small subunit ribosomal RNA
Source: RNAcentral
UGAGGAAUUUUCCGCAAUGGGCGAAAGCCUGACGGAGCAACGCCGCGUGAGGGAUGAAGUCUCUAGGGAUGUAAACCUCUGUUGGGAGGGACGAAGAUCUGACGGUACCUCCUGAGGAAGCCCCGGCUAACUACGUGCCAGCAGCCGCGGUAAUACGUAGGGGGCAAGCGUUAUCCGGAUUUACUGGGCGUAAAGAGCGCGUAGGCGGUUCCGUAAGUUGGUUGUGAAAGUUCGAGGCUCAACCUCGAAACUGCGUCCAAUACUGCGGGGCUGGAGUGCAAGAGAGGCAAGUGGAAUUUGCGGUGUAGUAGUGAAAUGCGUAGAUAUCGCAAGGAACACCAGUGGCGAAGGCGGCUUGCUAGCUUGUAACUGACGCUGAGGCGCGAAAGCUAGGGGAGCGAACGGGAUUAGAUACCCCCGUAGUCC